ACCUGCCUCUCCCUUGAUGCCUGGUGGGCCCUGGGGUCCUGGAAGACCUGGCGGGCCUGGUUCACCUUUGAUCCGGAAUAGCUCUGUUGAGGCAAGAAGAGAGUUGC
This is a long non-coding RNA of Dipodomys spectabilis (banner-tailed kangaroo rat), 107 nucleotides long. RefSeq lists it as uncharacterized. The transcript is spliced from 3 exons. The record is from RefSeq and is a predicted model, not a curated record. Lineage: Eukaryota; Metazoa; Chordata; Mammalia; Rodentia; Heteromyidae.